Molecule: long non-coding RNA, 380 nt
Organism: Gopherus flavomarginatus (Mexican gopher tortoise)
Lineage: Eukaryota; Metazoa; Chordata; Testudines; Testudinidae
Exons: 3
Source: RefSeq, a predicted model, not a curated record
CCUGGAGUGACUCUACCCAAGCGUGCCCGGUACCCCCAGGAGUUACUCUACUCGAGCGUGCCCAGUACCCCCAGGAGUGACUCUACCCCAGAGUGCCCAUACCCCCCUGGAGUGACUCUACCCGAGUGUGCCCAUACCCCCCGGGAGUGACUCUACCCGAGUGUUCCCAGUACCCCCUGGAGUAACUAUACUUGAGCGUGCCCAGUACCACCCUGAAGUGACUUUACCCGAGUAUGAGCAGUACUCCCUGGAGUAACUCUACCCGAGCACCUUUUAGUACCCUUUCUGGAGUAAGUACCUCUCAGAGUAAGGUCAGUUCUAGCCUGGAGUGACUAUCCCUGAGGAAGCUGCCAGCUGCCUCCAGGGACACCAUCCUGGCC